UAGUUGAUUUAGUGGGUCUAAUAAAGACCUUCUAAAUCAACUGCUGAUCACAUGCUCAUCAACUCUGGUAUGCCACUGGCUCACAAAGCAUAAUGGGAAUCAACGAGAGAGAUCGUGGUAACUCCAUCUCAGAUUCCCAACUGACCGGCACAAGCCUGCAUGGAGGAAUGUGACUACAGAGGGUGGCAGCUGCAAUUGCUUAGCAGGUAGCCAGCCAAGACUGCUAACUACUGCAGGGCUGGACCUCAAGGAGAGGGAAAUAUUGGUCCCCUCCUAACCUGCUUUUGACAUGGGUACCAGACAUCCUCUCUUCCCUGUGAGGAGGAAAAGAUACUGCCAAAACUACUGUGAGCCUUCGUGCUUAUAUGAAGCAUAACUGCAAAAGUCAUGAAGAAUCAACUUGUAAAAGGAAACUCUUGUAAUGAAGUUUAGCGAGAAUGGUUUAAUAAACAAUACAUUCUUUCUUUCCUCUA
Long non-coding RNA from Pelodiscus sinensis (Chinese soft-shelled turtle), 473 nucleotides. RefSeq lists it as uncharacterized. The record is from RefSeq and is a predicted model, not a curated record. NCBI's taxonomy places the organism in Eukaryota, Metazoa, Chordata, Testudines, Trionychidae.